Molecule: long non-coding RNA, 248 nt
Organism: Drosophila takahashii
Lineage: Eukaryota; Metazoa; Arthropoda; Insecta; Diptera; Drosophilidae
Source: RefSeq, a predicted model, not a curated record
UAUUUUAAAAUUUUCUAUACACAACCAGAAACAGCUAGAGAAACAGCGCAAGCACGGAAACACAAAGGAAAGCGUUGAAAGCUUUUCAUGAGGAAGACAUUUUUCAAAACCUGAGAAAUGGGCAUAAUUUCUCAAAUACUAAUCCGCAAGCAGGAGAUUUGAACAAUCAAAUGUAUUGACCAUGGACAAUAAAGAUUUGAAUGUUUUAUUAAGCUUUUGUUUGCAUUAUAUAUUGCUAUGCAAUGCAC